Oryza nivara is the source of this 193-nucleotide non-coding RNA. NCBI's taxonomy places the organism in Eukaryota, Viridiplantae, Streptophyta, Magnoliopsida, Poales, Poaceae. The record is from Rfam.
AAUAAAGCAAAUCCUGAGUUUCCCUGUCCAACUUUAACUGUUCAUCUUAUAUAAAUUUUUUUUAUAAUUCGUAUUUUUAUUAUUGUUAAAUGAUAAAACAUGAUUAAAAUUUUAUGCAUGACUUAUCUUUUUAUUUUUUUAUAAUUUUUUUAAAUAAGACGGACGGUUAAACGUUGGGCAUGAAAACAGGGUU